Molecule: ribosomal RNA, 460 nt
Filed under: uncultured bacterium
Lineage: Bacteria
Description: partial 16S ribosomal RNA
Rfam family: Bacterial small subunit ribosomal RNA
Source: RNAcentral
CCUACGGGCGGCUGCAGUGAGGAAUAUUGGUCAAUGGACGAGAGUCUGAACCAGCCAAGUAGCGUGAAGGAUGACUGCCCUAUGGGUUGUAAACUUCUUUUAUAAAGGAAUAAAACGAGGCACGUGUGCCCUUUUGCAUGUACUUUAUGAAUAAGGAUCGGCUAACUCCGUGCCAGCAGCCGCGGUAAUACGGAGGAUUCGAGCGUUAUCCGGAUUUAUUGGGUUUAAAGGGAGCGUAGAUGGGUUGUUAAGUCAGUUGUGAAAGUUUGCGGCUCAACCGUAAAAUUGCAAUUGAUACUGGCAGUCUUGAGUACAGUUGAGGUAGGCGGAAUUCGUGGUGUAGCGGUGAAAUGCUUAGAUAUCACGAAGAACCCCGAUUGCGAAGGCAGCUUACUAAACUGUGACUGACAUUGAUGCUCGAAAGUGUGGGUAUCAAACAGGAUUAGAUACCCGAGUAGUC